This 94-nucleotide transfer RNA is filed under the name Candidatus Zixiibacteriota bacterium. Its description in RNAcentral is "tRNA-Sec". It matches the Rfam family "Selenocysteine transfer RNA". Lineage: Bacteria; Pseudomonadati; Candidatus Zixiibacteriota. RNAcentral also lists the same sequence under 1 other name. The record is from RNAcentral.
GGAAGUGGAUAGGAUCUGGUGGUCCUUGCGGUCUUCAAAACCGUGGGGAGGCAGUUAUGCUGUCUCCGGUGAGUUCGAUUCUCACCCCUUCCGC